Molecule: ribosomal RNA, 487 nt
Filed under: uncultured bacterium
Lineage: Bacteria
Description: SSU rRNA
Rfam family: Bacterial small subunit ribosomal RNA
Source: RNAcentral
AGGACGAACGCUGGCGGCGUGCCUAACACAUGCAAGUCGAACGCUCUCCAUUCAGUAGCAAUACUGAUGAAGAGAGAGUGGCGAACGGGUGAGUAGCACGUGAGCAACCUGCCCCGAAGACUGGGACAACACCAGGAAACCGGUGCUAAUACCGGAUAUCCCUAUCGGACCGCAUGAUCUGAUAAGGAAAUGGAUUCCGCUUCGGGAGGGCUCGCGGCCUAUUAGCUAGUUGGUGAGGUAAUAGCUCACCAAGGCAUCGACGGGUAGCUGGUCUGAGAGGACGACCAGCCACACUGGGACUGAGACACGGCCCAGACUCCUACGGGAGGCAGCAGUGGGGAAUAUUGGACAAUGGGGGCAACCCUGAUCCAGCGACGCCGCGUGUGUGAAGAAGGCCUGCGGGUUGUAAAGCACUUUUAGUGGGAUGAAAAGCUCAGGGUUAACACCUCUGGGUCUUGACCUAACCACAGAAAAGCACCGGCUAACU